This 472-nucleotide ribosomal RNA is filed under the name uncultured bacterium. RNAcentral describes it as "bacterial SSU rRNA". It matches the Rfam family "Bacterial small subunit ribosomal RNA", at positions 328 to 793 of the family's 1533-position model. The record is from RNAcentral.
CUCUAACACUCCUACGGGAGGCAGCAGUGGGGAAUAUUGCACAAUGGGCGCAAGCCUGAUGCAGCCAUGCCGCGUGUGUGAAGAAGGCCUUCGGGUUGUAAAGCACUUUCAGUCGUGAGGAAGGUAGUGUAGUUAAUAGCUGCAUUAUUUGACGUUAGCGACAGAAGAAGCACCGGCUAACUCCGUGCCAGCAGCCGCGGUAAUACGGAGGGUGCGAGCGUUAAUCGGAAUUACUGGGCGUAAAGCGCAUGCAGGUGGUUUGUUAAGUCAGAUGUGAAAGCCCGGGGCUCAACCUCGGAAUUGCAUUUGAAACUGGCAGACUAGAGUACUGUAGAGGGGGUAGAAUUUCAGGUGUAGCGGUGAAAUGCGUAGAGAUCUGAAGGAAUACCGGUGGCGAAGGCGGCCCCCUGGACAGAUACUGACACUCAGAUGCGAAAGCGUGGGGAGCAAACAGGAUUAGAUACCCUGGUAG